GCUUCAUUAGCUUAAUUGGCAGAGCUCAGGUUUUGUAAGCCUUGAGGUGUAGGUUCAAGUCCUACAUGAAGCA
This 73-nucleotide transfer RNA is filed under the name Calditrichota bacterium. Its description in RNAcentral is "Calditrichaeota bacterium (activated sludge metagenome) tRNA-Thr". It matches the Rfam family "tRNA". Rfam says of the family: Transfer RNA (tRNA) molecules are approximately 80 nucleotides in length. Their secondary structure includes four short double-helical elements and three loops (D, anti-codon, and T loops). Lineage: Bacteria; Pseudomonadati; Calditrichota. The record is from RNAcentral.